GUCUAGGUACCAUGAGCGAGAGGGUCACACCUGUUCCCAUCCCGAACACAGCAGUUAAGCCUCUCAGCGCCGAUGAUAGCAGCAAUGCAAAAGUAGGCCGGUGCCUGGAC
RNAcentral lists this ribosomal RNA (110 nucleotides) under Candidatus Magasanikbacteria bacterium GW2011_GWA2_37_8. RNAcentral also lists the same sequence under 1 other name. Lineage: Bacteria; Candidatus Magasanikiibacteriota. The record is from RNAcentral.